RNAcentral lists this ribosomal RNA (2883 nucleotides) under Arsukibacterium indicum. RNAcentral describes it as "Rheinheimera sp. SM2107 23S ribosomal RNA". It matches the Rfam family "Bacterial large subunit ribosomal RNA". Lineage: Bacteria; Pseudomonadati; Pseudomonadota; Gammaproteobacteria; Chromatiales; Chromatiaceae. The record is from RNAcentral.
GGUUAAGUGACUAAGCGUACACGGUGGAUGCCUUGGCAGUCAGAGGCGAUGAAGGACGUACUAACCUGCGAAAAGCUGUGGGAAGCCGGUAAGAGGCGUUAGACCCGCAGAUAUCCGAAUGGGGAAACCCAGUGCAUUUAUGCACUAUCCCAGCAUGAAUACAUAGUGUUGGGAGGCAAACCGGGAGAACUGAAACAUCUAAGUACCCCGAGGAAAAGAAAUCAACCGAGAUUCCGUUAGUAGCGGCGAGCGAACGCGGAUUAGCCCUUAAGCUAAAUUGGUGUUAGUGGAAUACUCUGGAAAGGGUAGCGAUACAGGGUGAUAGCCCCGUACACGACAAUGCCUUUAUAGUGAAAACGAGUAGGACGGGACACGUGGUAUCCUGUUUGAACAUGGGGGGACCAUCCUCCAAGGCUAAAUACUCCUGACUGACCGAUAGUGAACCAGUACCGUGAGGGAAAGGCGAAAAGAACCCUUGUAAAGGGAGUGAAAUAGAACCUGAAACCGUGUACGUACAAGCAGUGGGAGCCCCUUCGUGGGGUGACUGCGUACCUUUUGUAUAAUGGGUCAGCGACUUACAUUCUGUAGCGAGGUUAACCGAAUAGGGGAGCCGUAGGGAAACCGAGUCUUAACUGGGCGAAUAGUUGCAGGGUGUAGACCCGAAACCGGGCGAUCUAUCCAUGAGCAGGUUGAAGGUUGGGUAACACUAACUGGAGGACCGAACCCACUACUGUUGAAAAAGUAGGGGAUGACUUGUGGAUCGGAGUGAAAGGCUAAUCAAGCUCGGAGAUAUCUGGUUCUCCUCGAAAGCUAUUUAGGUAGCGCCUCGAGCGAAUACCAUUGGGGGUAGAGCACUGUUUGGGCUAGGGGGUCAUCCCGACUUACCAACCCCAUGCAAACUCCGAAUACCAAUGAGUACUACUCGGGAGACACACGGCGGGUGCUAACGUCCGUCGUGAAAAGGGAAACAACCCAGACCGCCAGCUAAGGUCCCAAAGUAAUGAUUAAGUGGAAAACGAUGUGGGAAGGCAUAGACAGCUAGGAGGUUGGCUUAGAAGCAGCCACCCUUUAAAGAAAGCGUAAUAGCUCACUAGUCGAGUCGGCCUGCGCGGAAGAUGUAACGGGGCUAAAUCAUUCACCGAAGCUGCGGACUUGUGCUUGCACAAGUGGUAGAGGAGCGUUCUGUAAGCCUGUGAAGGUUAUCCGGGAGGAUGGCUGGAGGUAUCAGAAGUGCGAAUGCUGACAUGAGUAACGAUAAGGGGAGUGAAAAACUUCCCCGCCGAAAGACCAAGGGUUCCUAUCCCAUGCUAAUCAGGGUAGGGUGAGUCGGCCCCUAAGGCGAGGCUGAAAGGCGUAGUCGAUGGGAAACAGGUUAAUAUUCCUGUACCGGCCAAUACUGCGAUGGGGGGACGGAGAAAGCUAGGCAGGCGCGGCGUUGGUAGUCCGCGUGAAAGUAUGUAGGUUGAGCGUUUAGGAAAAUCCGGAUGCUUAAGACUGAGAUACGAGACGAGACUCUACGGAGUCGAAGCUGUUAACGCUAUGCUUCCAGGAAAAGCCUCUAAGCUUCAGGUAUUGGUGACCGUACCCUAAACCGACACAGGUGGUCAGGUAGAGCAUACCAAGGCGCUUGAGAGAACUCGGCUGAAGGAACUAGGCAAAAUAGUACCGUAACUUCGGGAGAAGGUACGCUCUUUGUUGUGAAGGACUUGCUCCGUAAGCAAUAGAGAGUCGCAGUGACCAGCUGGCUGCAACUGUUUAUUAAAAACACAGCACUGUGCAAACUCGUAAGAGGACGUAUACGGUGUGACACCUGCCCGGUGCCGGAAGGUUAAUUGAUGGGGUUAGCGCAAGCGAAGCUCUUGAUCGAAGCCCCGGUAAACGGCGGCCGUAACUAUAACGGUCCUAAGGUAGCGAAAUUCCUUGUCGGGUAAGUUCCGACCUGCACGAAUGGUGUAAUGAUGGCCAGGCUGUCUCCAGCCGAGACUCAGUGAAAUUGAAAUUGCGGUGAAGAUGCCGUAUACCCGCGGCUAGACGGAAAGACCCCGUGAACCUUUACUAUAGCUUGGCACUGAACAUUGACCCUACAUGUGUAGGAUAGGUGGGAGGCUUUGAAGCUGGAACGCUAGUUCUGGUGGAGCCGUCCUUGAAAUACCACCCUUGUAUGUUUGAUGUUCUAACGUAGGCCCGUGAAUCCGGGUUGCGGACAGUGUCUGGUGGGUAGUUUGACUGGGGCGGUCUCCUCCUAAAGAGUAACGGAGGAGCACGAAGGUUGGCUAAGUACGGUCGGACAUCGUACGGUUAGUGUAAUGGUAGAAGCCAGCUUAACUGCGAGACAGACACGUCGAGCAGGUACGAAAGUAGGUCAUAGUGAUCCGGUGGUUCUGUAUGGAAGGGCCAUCGCUCAACGGAUAAAAGGUACUCCGGGGAUAACAGGCUGAUACCGCCCAAGAGUUCAUAUCGACGGCGGUGUUUGGCACCUCGAUGUCGGCUCAUCACAUCCUGGGGCUGAAGUCGGUCCCAAGGGUAUGGCUGUUCGCCAUUUAAAGUGGUACGCGAGCUGGGUUUAGAACGUCGUGAGACAGUUCGGUCCCUAUCUGCCGUGGGCGUUGGAUGAUUGAGUGGAGUUGCUCCUAGUACGAGAGGACCGGAGUGAACGAACCGCUGGUGUUCGGGUUGUCAUGCCAAUGGCACUGCCCGGUAGCUAUGUUCGGAACGGAUAACCGCUGAAAGCAUCUAAGCGGGAAGCCGGCCACAAGAUGAGUCAUCCCUUAGACUUCGAGUCUACUAAAGGGUCGUUGGAGACCACAACGUUGAUAGGUGAGGUGUGGAAGCGUGGUGACACGUUAAGCUAACUCAUACUAAUUGCCCGAGAGGCUUAACCAU